This 5867-nucleotide long non-coding RNA is filed under the name Lupinus angustifolius (narrow-leaved blue lupine). RNAcentral's name for it is "long non-coding RNA (LANG_LNC000792)". The record is from RNAcentral. Lineage: Eukaryota; Viridiplantae; Streptophyta; Magnoliopsida; Fabales; Fabaceae.
GGCAGUUACAACUGUCAAAGUAACUGCCUCAUCAACUUAGCUCUUCUUUAAAUAGUAGCUAAAUCUCUUUCUUUCAUUGUAAUCAGAAAUACAGAAACAAUUCUAAUAAGAAAUUCAAUUCUCUCUUCUUUCUUUUCUUUCAUUUUCCAUUCUUUACAUCAACCAACAUCAGAGUAACAAUAUAAGCUUUUACAAGAACUCUCCAAACCAAGCUCUGGAUCAUCAAAAAUAGGGGGCCACAACCAAGCUAUUACUCCCCCAUUGAUAUGGAAAAGUAAGUCAAACGUGAUUCUUGUGCCCUGACUCAUGAUUCCUAAACAAAAAAUAGUACAAGUCCAAAAUAGACAAAUCCAGAAGUUCAUAAUUAAGGAUGUAAGAUAACAAACACCAUACUUGAUAUGUCCCACCACAACUCCCACAUACAAGUUAUCUCUGUGUAACGAAAGCACAAGAAUUCAAAAUCCAGGAAGGUUUACCAAAUUCAUAGUUCGCGUAGCAAAAGAAACAUUCUAAAGCUCCUCGGAAAACUUGAAGCUAGAAAACUUCGCAUUCCAAACCAAGUCGCAGAUCAUGCACAACCAAGCUAUCCCAUGUUCCACCUUGAAAAGUUGAAGCAACAAAGACAACCAAAUCAAAAAGGAAAAACACAGAUACCCUAAAGCUAACAGGGCUACAAUUAUCUCCUAAGGAAAAAGGUUCUUUUAAAGGCUACAACAAAACCUAAGGCUUUUGAAGGAUCUUCUAACCAAGGUCCACAACCUACAGUUAUCUUCCCUGUAACACCCAAGCGCAAAACAUAAAUAUGUUGGUAAAUAUUAAACGCUUGACCUAUUCAAACAAGACAAAUCAAAACUUCUCUCAAAGUAGGGCUCACCAAAUUAUGGACGACGCACAAUGCUACAGCACCUUCACAUGAAACACUACGCACAAGAUAACAUUUAAGGGAAAGAUCAUUACACAAUACUACAGGAAACAAAUUUAAAAUUUAUCUUGUUCAUUAAAAAAAGAAGCAACAACUUAUCAAUGAAUUAUUCAGAGAGCAUUUUUUAAGCUUAGAUCUUCAAUUGGAAACAACUAAGGACAGGAAAUUCAUUACAGGCUACUCUAGACUUCUUUGAUCACAUUAAUUCAAGCAGUACAAAUCCAGAACACUCUUUCAGAUUCAGCCCUCGAGGGUUACACCAGCAGGUAGAAUUUCCAGGCCCAAAAAUACGGCACAUGAAUAACGCAAUAAGUUCAACACCUAGAUUGUCAUGAUCAAUGGCAGAACAAUAUUCAAAGAAUUGAACAAAGAAUCAGAAACUUUUAUCAACUUAUUGAUUAUUGAUGCAAUAAUCAGCAAGUGUAGCUCACAGGAUUCGAACAUUUGACAUUUGUCCUAGUACGAUAUCUGGGGAUCCAAUGGGUCCUUAGACCACUACACAAAUGCCUCAUCGACAACCGCUAUAGAAUUAAAAUUCAAGAAAACCAAGCUUUUUAUGUUAAAAAACAUAUUCACAGAAUACUAUAAAAAUAUUUUCAAGUGCAGAACUAUUAAAAAAAUCAAACCUGGACGUACGGGAACAAUAUCAUCAUAAAUAGUUGACUGCAAACUCCUAAAAAUUACCGAUGUAACACCCUUAGAAGUAUUAUAUGACAAAUCAUGCAUAAGGUGUUGGUUCACAUAUUGUUCAAUUAAAGAUUCAAUUUGCCUAAAGGUUUAGGUGCUCAAUACACGAAGUUGUGACACUACAAGCCUGUGACAAAGAAGAUUAUGACAUGGAGAGGAAAAACUUAUAGAUAAGAAAACAUCAAUAUAGCAUAGAAGAAUUCUCCAAACCAAAUACGCAUAUCAUCACAACCAUCACACAGUCCCAAAGCAUCAAAGGUACUACAUAGACUCCUCAUAAGAGAGAAACUACUGCAUCCCAAAACUCGUAUGCAUCCUGAUACAUAAACACAGUAAUGAGCAUAUCCACAGAUAUCCAAAUCCAGAAGAAGCACAUACGAGGGGGACAAACAAGAAUAAAGUUUUUUAAUGGUAACAUAACCUAAGAAGCAACAGAAUUCCAUCGAUACCCCCAAUCACUGCUUCCACAGUACAGAACAUUAUCAUUUCCAAGUAAAGCAAGCUAAAUGCAUGGGAAACGCACGGAAUCUGAAAGAACUUAUAAACGAAAGACAAAUCCAAGAGUUCAAAAUCCAGAUACAGGUCACCAAGUUCAGAAUGUGACUGAAAAUGCAUACACUAAAUGUGAAAUGACCUUCAAAAUUCAACUCCGCGUCAUAAAAAGGAGAUACGGAAUUUAAGAAACUAAAUGAUUAAAUAAUGAAUCAAACCCCUUAGCUUAAAAGAUUGACAAAAAUUGGUUAGGAUCCAACUUCAACCUCCACAAAAUAAGGAGUCUCGACUUGAUUGUAAAUCUGAGGCAUAUGUAGUCACCUGAAGCAGGAUGAUGGACCCCAACUUCCGACAAACUGUGGAAGACCAUAUCAGUUUUAGCUAAAAAUAUUAGAACUUUCAAAAAACCAACACACAGAUACUCCAAAAAAGAACCAAAAGCCCAAGCAAGGUCUCAUUCCUCCCUUGAUAUCGCUUUAACAUGACCAUAUUCCAUAUAAAUGGACAAUUAGAUCAAAGUAACAUCCAAAUAAUCCUAAUGCAAGCACUUAUAAAUAUUUGUGUCAGCUAACAAAGAAAAAGGUGGUCCGGCACACGAGGAUCCCACCUGGUAGAGUUUGAUGAAAGUAGAUGUACACAACCUUACCCCAUACACAGAGAGGCUGUUUCCAUGUGUUGAUUUAAAUUUCCUGCAGAUUAAGGUGCUCACUAUAGGAGCGGGUAUCCCUGUGACAAAGAAAAAUCCAGUUAGGAAAACAAAAAACUUAGUAGAUCAUACAAAAGUUAGACAAAAACAUCGAUAAAAGGGUGACAGAAUUCUCCAAACCAAAAACACAGAUCAUCAGAACUAAAGACCAAGUGCCCAUAGCAACUGCCAUACAGUCUCCAUUUGAGUUAGAUCUCUAGUGCCUUAAAAGUGAGGCUUCCUAUACACAACAGAGAAACAGACAUAGCCAUACGUUGUAAACAUAACCAAAUCCACAGAACGAGCAGGGAAAAAAUGAGAAGAAUAUUCACAUUAACACCAACAAAACCUAAGUCAGACCACAAUGGCAUCAACACUACGGCACUACCAACUGCUGCUCCCACACACCAGCACAUAAAUAUUGCAAUUUAGCCUGAAACACCCAAGCGGAAAUCAUGGAAACCAGAAAAUUUCCACACUAUCAAAAUAAAUUUAUCAACGAAAAACAAAUCCUAGAGUUCAGAAUCCUGAUAGAGGUCACCAAAUUAUGCAACAGACUUGAUAAUAUGCACGACAUUGCUGUGAAGAAAUAAUUGGAGGCACUCAAAGAACAGCUUCUACAAUCUCAAUUUAUAGACAUCACGAUCUAAGCCAAAAUAAUUAUAGAAUAAUUUAUGAAAUAAAUUAAAUCAGUAACCCUGAGCACUUAGCCACACUAAUAAUCCUCAACAAAAAAAUGAGGAACUUUGUCCCAGAUCCUUCCUUCCAAACUCACUCCUUUCUUACAAUCUUCCGAUUCAGCAAAAACCUUAUCAUUUAGAUAGUGUUUCAGAUCAUUAGCAAUUUGAACAAGGCCUAUAAAUUGGGAAAGCGAGACUGUGGACAACGCGGUUAUGGCAGAACAUUGUAAGAAGCUUGUCGAGCAACUUCAGAUUUAUGGAGAACGCUACAACACAUGCAAGUGCGAUGUCAACCACAAAUUCGGAAUAAGUGAGAUCACUUCUGAAACUGCACAAGAGAAACAUCACAACUAAAUUCAUAUACUACAAUUCAUCACUAGAAAAAAAGGUUGAAUAGCCCAUCAAACAAAUAAAAUCAACUCCCGAAUUUGGCACCACUGUUUUCUCCAAUUCUAAUUGGACCAGAAGCCCCAGUAACCAGAUUAACAGAAGAUCAAUUCCAAAGGAAGGUCGCCAUGUGCAACAAGAUGAAAUACCUUCAAACUUCAAGGAAUAGAGUAAGGAAUUAGGGGGAGAAUCAUGCCAAAUUUUCAACAAAAAUAAAGCUCAAUAACUCCAAACCAAGACAUAGAUGAUCGCAAAAAGAUCCUGGGCCAAAACAAGAUAUAUUUCUUCCAUUCACAUGGCAAUUGAACCAGAUAUAAAAACCGGAAGGAAAAAACCCGACAGUGCAAUGUGGCAGCACUGUCCAACUAGCCAAAUACAAAACGAGCACUUAAAUAUUAGGCAGAGCGAUAUGGUAUUGAAGCUAACAAAAUCUGAUACCGAACAGCCCAACCACACUCCUAGACAAGAAACUCUCUGCAAACCCAAGCAAAAAUCAUUAAUGGAUAAAGCGAACGCUCAGAGUCAACAGACCAGAAAAGACAUAGGCAGGUCCAAGAAUUUAGAAUCCAGCUUGAAUUAGCACAUGAUACAAGACACGAGAACAUUACAUAAAACCAUCGGAACUCUCUGCAGAACACUCAUCUUCAGACUCCAGAGUGCUGCAAACAAAUAAACACAACUCGUAGACCUCCAUGAUGAAACGGAGAACAGUAUUUCUACAAAGACCAAACUCCAGACUCCAUAUUCAACCUUCCUGUGGAUUCAAGACUUGCUCCUGUUCCAGAUGAAGGUGGCGACUUCAAGCAGUAGGAGAGGACCUUUUUCGGCAGAAUAGUACUACAGCCUCAUAAAGUGUGAUGAAUAAAAAACUACAAUUAUCUGAAGAAAACGUACUGGCAACAUGAAAGUUUAAAAACAUCAGUACAAGCUUAGAAUUCUACAAACCAAGCCACGGAUCAUAAAAGUUAAGGGGGACCGAACCAAGCUAUUAUUCCUCCAUUGAUAUGGAAAAGUAGGUCAAAUAUGAUUCUUGUGCCCAGGUCAUAUGGUAUGUAAAACAAAAAACAGUACAACUCCAAAAUAGCCAAAUCCAGAACAUUCAUAAUUAAGGAUGUAAGAUCUAAAAUACCAUAUUGGAUACGUCCAACCACAGGUCCCACAUACAACUUGUCUCUGUGUAAAGGAAACACAACAAUUCAAAAUCCAGGAAGGUUUACCAAAUUCAUAAUUCGUAUAGCAAAAGAACAUUCCAAAGCUCCUCAGGAAACAUGAAGCUAGAAAAUUUCACAUUCCAACUCAAGUUGCAGAUUAUGCACAACAAAGCUAUCCCAUGUUCCCCGUUGAAAAGUCGAAGCAACCAAGACAGCCAAAUCAAGAAGGAAAAAACACAGAUAAAUAAAUACAGAAGCAAGGGCAAAUCAAGGACUACAAUUCUCUCCCAUGUAAUACCCAAGGGCAAAUCAUAAAUAUGUAAAUAGAAAAAAUAUUAGAUGCCUGACAUAUUCAAACAAGACAAAAGAAAACUUCCCUUAAAGUAGGGCUCACCAAAUUACGCAAGAGGCCCAAAGCUACAGAUCCUUCACAUUUAACAAUAUGCACAAGAAUCCAUGUAACACAAAGAUCAUUGCACAACACCACAGAAAUACAGAUUUAAAUUUAUACAGUAUAAUGUAAAUUAAAAAAGAACCAACAACUUAUCAAUGAGGUAUUCAAAUAGCAUCUUAAAGAUUAGAUCUUCGAUUGGAAACAGCUAAGGACAACAAGUUCAUUCCAGGCUCUAGAUUUCUUCGAUCACAUAAAUUCAAGCAGUUUAAACACCUAGAUAUAUUCAUGAGAAAGUGAAAAUUAUUAGGAUAUGGUUACAAAAUUCCUGAAAACAAAAACAAGAACUCAUGUUACAAAAAUAAAAUAAUCCUGAACCUAUCACCAGCUAUAAAUUCCAGAACAUACAUUCAGAGAUUUGUUCCUCGAGGGUUACACACUUACACCUAAAAGGUAGAAUUUCCAGGCCCAA